Molecule: long non-coding RNA, 924 nt
Organism: Spinacia oleracea (spinach)
Lineage: Eukaryota; Viridiplantae; Streptophyta; Magnoliopsida; Caryophyllales; Amaranthaceae
Exons: 5
Source: RefSeq, a predicted model, not a curated record
UUAUUUCUUCAAUUGUAAGAAAUUAAAUUUACAAAUUUUUAAAAAUUGCGGUCUGAUGCGUCAGAACUGUCCACGUGUCCACCCAUGGGUCAGGGCGCGGGUCAAAUCAUGAUCAGCGGUUCAAAAUCGUUUUUUCCGGGUUGAGUAUAAAAGCCCUAUUUCCCACUCUUUUCCUUAUUUUCAAAUCACGGUUCACCACUUAGAGAGAGAAAACCGUUCGACUUCUUCCAUUUUAGGAGAGAGAAAGCUUAUUCUCUUUGAUCUUCUCUUCGAUUGCUUCAAUUUCUGUUUCGAAAGUGUGAUUGUGAUUUUUUUCUGUUCUUCAUCAACAUUCGGGUUUCGUAACUGCGAUUUGUGAUUAUCUCGGUUGUUCUUCAUUUUCGACAACACAUUGGUUUUGUAACUGCGAUUUGUGAUUAUCUCGGUUGUUCAUCAUUUUCGACAACACUUUUUCACAAAAUGAGAUAGAAAAAUGCUAAUAAACCAUCUGAUUAUCAUGAUGCUUCUUCCCAAAACACAUCUGGGAAGCCAAGUGUAGAUGUUCCAGCUGGUGGGAAGCCGAGUGCAGAUGCUGCAGCUGGUAAACAUAACGAUGAGAGGAAAGUAGGAAGAGGGCCAAAGAAGUCCAAAGUAAAAUUAGAAUACACGGAAGAUGGAGGGGAUGUCAUAUAGUUGGAUAGGUAUAACUCCUAUCCUCUGUAACUAAUAUUUAUCACUGUUUAACUACUUUUAUUUAUUUUUAAACUAAUUGCUUUUGCUGUGAAAACAAUUAAUUUACCUAUACUAUUUUUUUCGUAUACUUUGAAGAAGAAGGGGGCAAUUAUGUAGAUUUUUUUUUCCAUAUCAAAGAAUCUUUUGCUUGAGGUUUACACUAAAAAAAAAAACUUGUUUGUAAAUAUUUAGCUUGGACAAUUUUGACCCACA